CGAUGGUGGUGGUGGUGGAGGUGGUGGCAGAGGGAGAGCAGGCGGGGAGACUUCAUUCCAUAGUUGGCGCCUGUCACGUUGCCCGGUCGGAGUCAUCUCAUUGAAAACCUAGACGUGUCUGGGCUGGCUGGUGAAGGACACGCAGCGGCAGCGGUUGGCAAUGACAGACUCGGAGCAGUACAUCCUCCAGGACUGGGUCAUGAGGGAACUGUUCAAGGGGAGCCUCAAGGAGAUGGCCACCCACCCAUACCAGCCUAGCAGAGCAUUAUCACUGACGGACACAACUUAUUCUGCAGGAAGAGAGUAGCUGUGAGGAGCUGUAAAGCAGGCCAGAGAAUGCAAGAUGCAUUAUUUUAAGUGUGUGCCAAGGUGACACCAUCCUCCACCGUCCCACCUGUCGCCUCCACCACACCGGGGAACAUCACCUGCAACACCGUCUCUCAAGCUUCUGUGAGUCCACUCCAGCCCUCCCCCUCCCCCCAGCAGCCUGGAGUUCAUCCCAGCCUCACCUGACAGCUAUCAGUCAUCAUCUGCUGCCUU
Molecule: long non-coding RNA, 540 nt
Organism: Scylla paramamosain (green mud crab)
Lineage: Eukaryota; Metazoa; Arthropoda; Malacostraca; Decapoda; Portunidae
Exons: 4
Source: RefSeq, a predicted model, not a curated record